This 519-nucleotide ribosomal RNA is filed under the name uncultured eukaryote. RNAcentral's name for it is "SSU rRNA". It matches the Rfam family "Eukaryotic small subunit ribosomal RNA", at positions 1161 to 1704 of the family's 1831-position model. The record is from RNAcentral.
AGGGCACCACCAGGAGUGGAGCCUGCGGCUUAAUUUGACUCAACACGGGAAAACUCACCCGGCCCGGACACCGUAAGGAUUGACAGACUGAGAGCUCUUUCUUAAUUCGGUGGGUGGUGGUGCAUGGCCGUUCUUAGUUGGUGGAGCGAUUUGUCUGGUUAAUUCCGAUAACGAACGAGACUCUGGCCUAUUAAAUAGGCGAUACAUAGAAAAGUGUAUCGAACUUCUUAGAGGGACAAGCGGCGUCUAGCCGCAUGAAAUAGAGCAAUAACAGGUCUGUGAUGCCCUUAGAUGUCCGGGGCUGCACGCGCGCUACACUGAAAGAGUCAGCGUGCGUUUUACCUAGUUCGGAAGAACCGGGUAACCCAAGUAAAUUCUUUCGUGCUUGGGAUAGGGAAUUGCAAUUAUUUCCCUUAAACGAGGAAUUCCCAGUAAAUGCGGGUCAUAAGCUCGCGUUGAUUACGUCCCUGCCCUUUGUACACACCGCCCGUCGCUACUACCGAUUGGAUGACUUAGUGA